RNAcentral lists this long non-coding RNA (8082 nucleotides) under Capsicum annuum. RNAcentral's name for it is "long non-coding RNA (CANN_LNC017211)". Lineage: Eukaryota; Viridiplantae; Streptophyta; Magnoliopsida; Solanales; Solanaceae. The record is from RNAcentral.
AAAUAAGGAAGUUGGGUAUGUCUAAAACAAGAAAAUUGAUUCCAAACCGAAUACCUGGUUGAAGAAGGGCCAUCCUUCCAUAUUCUGAGCCCGAAGUGUAUCUACAUUUACUGCUUGGUAAUUUACUCUAGAUCUCAAAAUCUUCGGUCUCUGCUCAAAAUAUUAAGCUAUGAGUACCUCCAUUUAUAUAACUGUUUGAAACUGGUAAGUCCAUUUAUAUAACUGUUAGAAAGAAGAAGAAGAUUAACAUCAACACAACACUAGCUACUUGAUCAUAUAUAUACAGUAGCUGAGAUAUAGUAAUUUGAAAGUGCUAGGCACUCGGUAUCUCAUCCUCUUGCUUUACCUGGACUUUGCUAGCAAUUAAUCAUGCAAUUGGAAAUGAAAUCUAGCAUAAUUGGAAAUGAACAUAGCACGACCAGUAAUAGGUGAAUAAUGAUCCAAAAGUCAUAAUUUCUAUAGUAAACUGUAUAUGCCAUUAAUUGAUUCUGGUGACUACUUGGACCAAAGAGGGUCCUACUUCAGAAUGAUCUCAAGGAUCUUUAUGUUCUCUUCAUAAAGAUAACAGUGCAUUAUAUAAGAAUAAUGCAAUUCUACAGAAGAGAAAAAGAUCAAGAAUGGAUCUCAAACAAGUAUUUACUAUGAUAACCCAACCCCUCGUUUGGAGUAUUUGCAUUACAUUUUUAUGUUUUGAGACUACAUAAGAGUUUAUAUAAUAUUUUGGGACUUUUUGGUACAGUUUAGGUUAAGACCCAAGGGGUUUGGAAAUAUAUUUUCCAUUUCAGCUGAUGCUGAUUUCUAGUACAGGCAAUUUUAUCAAGUUCCCAGUUAAGGGAAACAUUGUGCAUAGCGAUAAAGUGCUCCCUGCACAAUUACAUAGAGUAAAUAGGAGCUCAAGGUCUAGGCUCUUUGGCAUUCGCUGGGUCCCGAGCAAGCUGCAACACAAUCGCGUGGACAUGUCGCGAUCAUAAUGAAGAUUCACCCGGAUAUGAAUGUCAACAAGUACAUGUAGGAUUCUCCAAAAGAAGUGUAUUCUUGGGUAGGAUAUAGGGAAUAUUGAGAGUCUAAUUUGACAUAGAUAUAGGGACUGUUGGGAGUCCGAUUGUGGUAAUGAUACAGGAUUAUUGUGUGAGAUCGUUGGUAUGACAUUAAUGUGCACGUGUGAAUUUUGAUCCAUCCCUCAUAAAUCACCAACAAGGUACCUACCUUACCAUGUGCAGAUUGGUUUUGGUUCUUGUUAUGUGCACUUAGGUGCCAGAUGAUGGUAAUGAUGUUGAGAUUAUUGGUAUUGAGAUUUCGGACCCUGUUUGAGAGAGCUGAAUUGGAUAAUGUUUGAAUCUUUUCUGCAUAUCUUGUUGAUAUGUCUUGUUAUCAUUAUCUUUUGUUGAAUUGCUUAUGCAUAUCGUCUAUGUUUAUCUGUGCAAAUCUAACUUGUUGAAUUGUUCUAUACUGUGGUGUGCAUACUUUUUUGUUGCCUUCUUAUUGUAUUACACAGGUUAAUUGAAAACAGUUGUUUUUAUUUAUCCUCACUAAAAUAUUUUUGGGGGCGGUUAAUGAUACUUAAUUGAGUACUUCCCAUAUUCACCUCCUCUUCCCAACACUAUAUGUGCAUAUUCUGACCCCAAUAGGAGUUCCAUCCAUGAUUGAGCUUUAGAAGAUUUCUCGUGUAUCCUGUGGUGAGCUGCCAACCAGUUCUUGGUAUAGUUUAGAGUUUAUAUAUGUUAUUUUCCCUUUCCUAUACGUUUAUGCUACCCUAUUUCGGAAAGUAUAGUACUAAUUCUACUCUUAGAUGCUCGUGACUAGUAUUACCAGAUUCUAGUGUUAUGUGGAUUUGAUUCAGUAGUGUAUCAUACUUUAUUGUUCUCUUAUGCAUGUUGAUACUCUACUUAGACUUUCUUGGUGUUGGAUUUGGACAUCGAGAGUUGAAUUGUUUUUGGCUCGCCAAAUAUGGGGGUUGUUGGGUGCCAUCACGGUUUAGUUAAAUUGGAUCGGGACAUUCACAAACUCAACAAUCUGUCCAGCUGGUUGGAAUUUAAACAAGGUAUACAGUUCCAUUAAAGGGCCUACAGGCUAAAAAAAAAAAAAGGGAAAAGAACACUCUGUAGCACUUUUUAAAACAAAUAGCUCAAGUUUGAAAACUUUUCAAAAAGGGUCAGUCGGAUGUACUAUUUUCUCUUUAUAGUCAUUUCCUAAUUUGGGUCAUUUUGGCCUACGUAGUCCAUAUACAAUACUGAUACAGUCUAUAUACAAUACUGAUCCAGGUAUUCAACUUGGGCAAUCUGGUUCUUUAAAAAUAUUUCAAUUUUUUUUUGCUAUAAAUUUUUUAAUUGAUCAAAUAUUCUGCUUUUUUUCAUUGUUUAGAAAUAAUAAUUAAAUUAUAUAAAAACGAUAUAAUUGUUAAAUAGAAUAUGUAUUUAUAUAAGAUAUAUGUAUAAAAAUUGUAUAGUUCUAUCAAAUAUGUAAUGUAUAAAAUAUAUAUAAAAAAUAUAUAGAAAGUGUAUGAAAAUUAUAUAAUUGUUUUAUAAAACGUGUAAAAAAAAAUGUACAAUUCUUGUAUAAAUUGUGUAUCAAAACUGUAUAAUUUUUGUAUAAAAUAUUUAUAUGUAUAAGAUUUGUAGAGAAACUGUAUAGAAGGUGUGUAGAAACGGUAUAGAACAAGCUAGUAAACUAAAAUGGCUAGAAAGUGGAAUUUAAAUUCUAUGGCCAUUUUUAUGAAAAUAGUUUAAUUUGAAGUGUCGUUUCUGUCCUUUUCCCCAAAAAAAGAAGGGACCUACAAGCAGGUUUUUCAUGACAUUCAGUAAAACAUUUACUGGUGGUUCUAGUUUUCACCUGAAUCUGUAAAAUUGACUUCGAUGUAGUGUAUAUAAGUUCCCAUUUUCCAUUCAGAAGACUUGACUUGAGGGGCUCCUUUGUUGGAUUGCAACCAUCAAGUUUGCGAGCAAUCUAAUUAAAUAAGAGUGUUAAGGAAAGUUUGACAGACUAUAACAAACAUGAUGUGUACAAUCCCUCAGAAUACUAAUUUAAGAUCAGAAGAUAAAAACCUAUUAGAUAUUUCAAUUAUAUGAAUCAUCUCUUGCUAACCUAAUUCUUAACAUACUCCUGAACUUACAUACAUUGAGCAAGUAUUAACAUAGAUAAAGAAAAACACCGUAAUUACAAUCAGCUCAUGACACAGAAUAUUUAGCCCUGCAAUAGCAAGUGAAUGAUGAAUCUGAACCACCCCUUUUUGGCCGAGAUGAUGAAAUAUUGGAUAGAAUGUAAAAAUCAUUUGGUGUACAAGUAGUUGUGAAAGAAAGAACUCUAUAAAUAGUAUACUAAAAUGAAUAAUAUCCGUAAUCCAACAAGUUCCUAUAUAUAAAGCGAGACUUUUGUUCCAACUUUGUUACAUUUUGCACAUAAGUUAUGUAUAUGCAUAAAAUAUGGUACCAUUAGCACGACAUUACUUGUUUGUGUGUAUACUACACUACAUAGCGGACCUAUCCGCAUGUAAAUAGUAAGAACAAAACAGAAAAGUCAAAAUCAAAUAGUUCCAGAAUAUAUAAAUGUAGUACAAAUAAGUACUAAUAUUUUUGAGAUGGAAUAAAGCAAACCUGAUCAAUUAUUUGCUGGUCUUGAGAAGUGGCAUCAGCGCCACGAUCAAGAGGUACAAUGGCCUCAAGAAGCUCCUGUUUAAUGGGUGUAGCAUCUUUGGUCUUGUUGAAGAAAGCAGGGAAGAAAGAAACAUUGGUCCGCCAUUUUUUAUUGUGAGUAGAAGUGGUGAUAUGAUGAGGAUUUUGGAUAGCAGGGAAAGAAAAAGAGGUGGAAUGAGCGAGAUAAAGCUUGGUUGAAUACUGAGUAGCGACAUGUGUUGGUAAGGGGGAAGGGGAUAAUGAGGAUAAGGCCAUGGAAAUGGUGCAAAUGAGUUUCUAGGGGACACUUUAAUUAAAUAAACGAAAAGGCCAAAACUAUUCUCAACUAUAUUUUAUGUAGAGCAAAAAUAUUUCCAUUUUUUUUUUAGCUUAAAAAAUAUACCUUUAUUUAUUAGCUCAAAAAUAUUUCACUUUAAUAGAGUGCCACCAAGCACACCACAUGAAAAAAGUUACCAUAUUUUCAGUCCACAUCAGCAUCUCAUUUAUGAAAAAGAGUCAAAAUCAUUCCCGAACUAUUCAAAACAGAACAAAAAUACUCCUAUGUUUGUUUCUUGACUCAAAAGUACCCUUCUGUUUGUUUUUUACUCACAAAUAAUCCUACUUUAAUGUAGUGCCACCAAGGACACAAUGUAAAAAUAAUUUACCACAUGGUCAGGCCACAUCAACAUCCCAUUUAAUACCUAGCCGACUCACUUAACCAUCCAACUUAACAUCUCAUUUAAUACCUGUACCGGAUCCGUCUUUAAAAACUUUGACGCAUCUUCACUUAAACUCUACCAAAUAUAUCGAUGAAGACUAGGGAUUUUUAGAAAAAAGAAAACCCUUAGUACGUGGGUUGAACUCUCAUAUAUUCUUUGGCAUGAUAAAGAUGGAUCGAAUUUCAACCCAUGUACUAAGGACUUUCUUUUUCUCUCAAAAUCCCUAGUAUACAUUAAUCUUUUUCGGGAGAGUUCAAGUGAAACAAAGGGUGGUUCUAUCUUUACCCUUUACUUAUGAAGACAAGUUGAAUGUUUUAAAGAUGAGCCGAAUACAUGUAUUAAAUAGGAUGUUAAGUUGGAUGGUUUAGUGAUUUGAUUGGGUAUUAAAUGGGAUGUUGACGUAGAUUGUCCAUGUAAUAAUUUUUUUUGUGUGGUGUGCUUAGUGACACUCCAUUAAAGUAAGAAGUAUAUGUGAGUCAAAAAAUAAUCUGAGGGGUAUUUUUGAGCUAAAAAAUAAAUGAAGGGUAUUUUGGGGCAGGGUGGUAUAAAUGGAGGCUUGCUUCGGGAGUUUUAUGUAAUAAGAAGGUGCCCCCAAACCUUAAAGGAAAGUUCUACAAUGGGGUCCGACCGGCUAUGUUGUAUAGAGCGGAGUGUUGGCCAGUUAAAAACUCCCACAUCCAAAUAUUGAAGGUGGCAGAGAUGAGGAUGUUGCGAUAGAUGUGUGGUCAUACUAGAAAAGAUAGCGUAAGGAAUGAGAUUAUUCGAGAAAAAGUGAAAGUAGCCUUGGUGGAGGACAAGAUGCGAGAAGUUAGGUUACGUUGGUUCGGACAUAUGAUGAGGAAGAGCUCUAAUGCUCCAGUGUAGAGGUGUGAGACACUGGCUAUAGAUGGUUUUAGGCGAGGUAGAGGUAUGUUGAAAAAGUAUUGGAAAGAGGUGAAUAGGCAUGAUAUGAAGCAGUUAUAGCUAACGGGGCACAUGACUCUUGAUAGGAAGGUGUGGAAGAUGCGGAUUCGGAUAGAGAGUUAGGGGGUGAGAGUGUGUCGGUAACAAUAGGGGAGCGUUCUUUAUUUGUGUCUGAAGUUUCUUGUUCGUGGUGUUGAGUGUUGAUUAUGGUUUCGGAUAUAUAAUUUUUAAUAUUAUCGCGUGGCUAUAGUAUUAUCGUAUGGCUAGUGGUGUUAGUUUAUUUUGCAGAUUGUACUAGUUUAUAUGGAUUUAUAUUUUGUGUUUGUUAUACUGCUAUCGGUCCUAAGCCGAGGGUCUAUCGGAAACAACCUCUCUACUUUAUCUGAGGUAGUGGUAUGGUCUGCGUACGCUCUACCCUCCCAAGACCCCACUAUGUGUGAAUACACUGGGUAUGUUGUUGUUGUAUUUUGAGAUAAAAAAUAAAUGGAGGAUAUUUUGCUCCAUUUCGGAUAGUUUAGAUGUAGUUUUGGCUCUUUUUCGUAAAUAAGAUGUUGGCAUGGAUUAAUCAUGUGGUAAUUUUUUCCACGUGAUAUGCUUAGUGGCACUCCAUUAAGGUAAGGAGUAUUUUUAAGUUAACAAAAUAAAUGGAGAGUAUCUUUACUAUAUUUCAAAUAGUUCAGAGGUAAUUUUGACCAUUUUCCAUUAAAUAAAUGGUUGUUAAACUGAUGUGUUUAUCCUUGUAUUUUAUUUCCAAAUAAAUGAUAUAUGACAUGACUUAAAUCUUUUCUCUACCAAAAUUAUCCAUAUUUUAAUACAUGGAGUUUACAUUAUUAAGAGUCACUUCUUUCUUCAAGAUAUUUAAUUGAGAUUAAAAUAACGAUAAAAUAUUUCUUAUUUUUUAAGAAAUCAAUAGUUUUCUUAAAGGGUAUUUCAAGGCUAAAAGUAUUUUUUUUAAAAAAUGGAGAGAGUAAUAAUUAGUUCAUUUAUUUCAAUUUGUUUGUCAUAUUUUAACUUGACACAAAGUUUAAGAAAAUAAAUAAGACUUGAAUUUUAUAGUCUUUAACUAAAGAUAUGUCAAAUGUAUCAAAAUGAUUUUUAAUCUUAUGGUCCUAAAUAUAUCACAUGAAAAGUUGAAAUUAAAGAAUUUCUAAAAAUGAAAAAAGACAUUCUUUUUUUAAAUAGAUUAAAACGAAAAGUAGUAAAAUUAAAUUGAAAAGGAUGGAAUAUAAAAAAAUUUCACAACCUUUACUUUACGCUUGAUGAAUGAACAUAAAAAUCAGAUCUAUUAGGAUCUACUAGGUCCGUGGUCUCGUAAAUUGAAGGGUCCUUCCCUCAAUUAUUCUCUCUUUUAGCUCCUAUCUGACCAAUCUUGUUAUAGAAUUUUUCGUAUGAUUUGAGAUAAGACAAAUCUUAUAAGAAAGAGUCAUAUUUCCAUCACAAAUAGUCUUCGUAUUUAUUUGCUUGGACCUAUAAAUUUUUGGGUAAGUUUUAAUAGGAGUAGAAGAAAAAUUCAUCACGUGAAAAGUGAUUCAACUUAUCCACAUUCAACAUUAGUGAUGUUUUUGCGUUUUAGCUUUGAAAAAUUUUCAACAAAAAAAAGGGAAAAGCAGGCACUGGGACAGUUUGGCAAAAGAUGUGCUUACUUACUAAGGUAGAAGUAUGGAUUUCAGAUCUCUAUUUGAAAUCUCAAAUGCUUUAUUUGUCAAGUUAUAGUGGAGAUUUAGGACAUUUGGAACCAUAUGGUCUACUUUUAUGUGAAAUAAAUACUAUAAGAAGAAACUCCCUACUAUGAUUUCAUGGAAAGAGGGUUCACAAUUAUGGAAGAAAAUGCUGGAAGCUAGGGAUGAGGUAGAGCAUAGUAUCUGGUGGGAACCAAAAAAUGGUUCAACUAGUUUUUGGUAUGAUAAUUGGUCUAAGUUGGGUCCUUUGUACCAACUUGCGUCAAUUGAUAUGUGUUUAACUUUGCAGAGGUAAAUUAUUUUUUUCAGAAUGACAGGUGGAAUGAAGAUUUUCUUAAUCAACAAUUAUCAAGUUAUUUUUGUAAAUCACAUUCUUGCGGAAUAUCCUAGAAGAUUGCAAACAGAGAAGAGGGACAAACCUUGGUGGUUGCUUACUACUAAUUGGAACUUUUGAGUAAAAAGUUUUUCGGAUUUUGAUGUGUCAUGGUUUCAUGACACCUUCGAUGCUCAAAAUAAAGAAAUUAUGAAGGAACUUAGGUACUUUUACUGGGUAUGAUAUGUUUUUGUAUUGAUUGUGCAGGAAAAUAGGUUUCAAAGGAAAAACUCAGAAAAGGAUGAAAAAUUUGCUAAGUGAAGAGAAGUUGGUGACUUAUGAGUGUGGUCUACGAAUCAUUAAUUAGAUCCACGACUUAUGAUUGGGGUUCGUGAGUUGACUUCUGAAGCUGAAGGAAAAGUCUGAUUUCUACAAAUUCAUGAGUCGUGACUUCAAACCACGACCCGUGGGUGGCAGUCAUGUCAUAUACUGAAGACUGAUACUGAGCCUGAUUUUCAUGAUAAAGACCUAUGACUUAUGGGUCUGAUCCACAACUCCACCCAUGACUCGUAGCAUGUCCCGACUUAGUUUUCUUACAUAGUUUAUGAUAAGAUUCAUUUUGUAUCUAUAAAUACUCUCAUUGUAUUUUACGAUUAGUUUACACACUUUUACAUUAUUUUGAGUUUCUUAGACACAUUAUUGAUCUUGGGACUAUUUGAUAUUGGUUUUUAGGAUUUUUGAUCUAUUUGAGAUUUGAUUUUUUAUCUUAUUCUUGUAAGUGCAAAAUUAUGCUUUCAUCUAUGAACUCCUCUUGCGUGCUUAUGAUCAUGAGUAGCUAAACUCCAUCACUAGAUUGUGGC